Molecule: ribosomal RNA, 253 nt
Filed under: uncultured bacterium
Lineage: Bacteria
Description: partial 16S ribosomal RNA
Rfam family: Bacterial small subunit ribosomal RNA
Source: RNAcentral
CACGUAGGGCGCAAGCGUUGUCCGGAAUUAUUGGGCGUAAAGAGCUCGUAGGCGGUCUGUUGCGUCUGCUGUGAAAACCCGGGGCUUAACCCCUGGCUUGCAGUGGAUACGGACAGACUAGAGGUAGGUAGGGGAGAAUGGAAUUCCCGGUGUAGCGGUGAAAUGCGCAGAUAUCAGGAGGAACACCGGUGGCGAAGGCGGAUCUCUGGGCCAUUACUGACGCUGAGGAGCGAAAGCGUGGGGAGCGAACAGG